CCUACGGGAGGCAGCAGUGGGGAAUUUUGGACAAUGGGCGAAAGCCUGAUCCAGCAAUGCCGCGUGUGUGAAGAAGGCCUUCGGGUUGUAAAGCACUUUUGUCCGGAAAGAAAUCCUCUGGGUUAAUACGUCGGGGGGAUGACGGUACCGGAAGAAUAAGCACCGGCUAACUACGUGCCAGCAGCCGCGGUAAUACGUAGGGUGCAAGCGUUAAUCGGAAUUACUGGGCGUAGAGCGUGCGCAGGCGGUUUUGUAAGACGGAUGUGAAAUCCCCGGGCUUAACCUGGGAACUGCAUUCGUGACUGCAAGGCUAGAGUAUGGCAGAGGGGGGUAGAAUUCCACGUGUAGCAGUGAAAUGCGUAGAGAUGUGGAGGAAUACCGAUGGCGAAGGCAGCCCCCUGGGCCAAUACUGACGCUCAUGCACGAAAGCGUGGGGAGCAAACAGGAUUAGAUACCCUGGUAGUCCACGCCCUAAACGAUGUCAACUAGUUGUUGGGGAUUCAUUUCCUUAGUAACGUAGCUAACGCGUGAAGUUGACCGCCUGGGGAGUACGUCACAAGAU
This 562-nucleotide ribosomal RNA is filed under the name uncultured Burkholderia sp. Its description in RNAcentral is "bacterial SSU rRNA". It matches the Rfam family "Bacterial small subunit ribosomal RNA", at positions 338 to 894 of the family's 1533-position model. Lineage: Bacteria; Pseudomonadati; Pseudomonadota; Betaproteobacteria; Burkholderiales; Burkholderiaceae. The record is from RNAcentral.